GAUUCCAACCCCUGCGCAUGGCAUGGCCGCGGCGGCCUCACGGUUGGCUAGCGCCAAGUGUCCAUUACAGGGCACACGUUGCUUUUACAAUGCCAAGCCUUUAUUACAGCCAAAUCUUUGUUUUCUUGAGUAGUUGCCUUACCGCUUAGGGGUCGUUCAGACGGAGGGGUACCUGCAGGCAGGAAAGUUAGUGCUUGCUUCCGUGGGAGGGGGCGAGCCUGGUUACCGAGCGACUCUGCUUCUGAAGCCUGUAGAUUAGGCAGAAGCUGCAGCGGAAACCUGUCAGUAUGAACUCGCUAUGAACUCGCGAACUUGCUCUUUCCGUCGCACUCCUGCGACUUAUUCUAGCCCUGUACGGUCCAGCCGUACACACCCAGGACAUUCAACCGAGUACACGCUCGGCAAAUACACAGAAAACUUUUGUUUUCUUUCGUUUCGCUCAUAAAGCCUACAGUUACAGGCGCGAUAUCUGACGCGCAGCUCC
RNAcentral lists this long non-coding RNA (484 nucleotides) under Volvox carteri. RNAcentral's name for it is "long non-coding RNA (VCAR_LNC004410)". The record is from RNAcentral. Lineage: Eukaryota; Viridiplantae; Chlorophyta; Chlorophyceae; Chlamydomonadales; Volvocaceae.